This 561-nucleotide unclassified non-coding RNA is filed under the name Pseudopithomyces maydicus. RNAcentral describes it as "sequence contains ITS1, 5.8S rRNA gene and ITS2". The stretch from base 199 to 352 matches the Rfam family "5.8S ribosomal RNA". Lineage: Eukaryota; Fungi; Ascomycota; Dothideomycetes; Pleosporales; Didymosphaeriaceae. The record is from RNAcentral.
UCAUUAACCUUUCAAAAACAGGGUGCGUCGCGGCCCCCCUCCGGGGGCGGUUUGGGGUCCUCCCCUUGACGCGCGCACGACUGCAUCCUUACUUUACGAGCACCUUCUGUUCUCCCUCGGCGGGGCAACCUGCCGUUGGAACCGAAUAAACCCUUUUUUGCAUCCAGCAUUACCCGUUCCGAAACAAACAAUCGUUACAACUUUCAACAAUGGAUCUCUUGGCUCUGGCAUCGAUGAAGAACGCAGCGAAAUGCGAUAAGUAGUGUGAAUUGCAGAAUUCAGUGAAUCAUCGAAUCUUUGAACGCACAUUGCGCCCCUUGGUAUUCCGGGGGGCAUGCCUGUUCGAGCGUCAUCUACACCCUCAAGCUCUGCUUGGUGUUGGGCGUCUGUCCCGCCUCAGCGCGCGGACUCGCCCCAAAUCCAUUGGCAGCGGUCCUUGCCUCCUCUCGCGCAGCACAUUGCGCUUCUCGAGGGGCUCCGGCCCGCGUCCAACAAGAAAACAUUACCGUCUUUGACCUCGGAUCAGGUAGGGAUACCCGCUGAACUUAAGCAUAUCAAUAA